Oncorhynchus keta (chum salmon) is the source of this 510-nucleotide long non-coding RNA. RefSeq lists it as uncharacterized. The transcript has 3 exons. The record is from RefSeq and is a predicted model, not a curated record. NCBI's taxonomy places the organism in Eukaryota, Metazoa, Chordata, Actinopteri, Salmoniformes, Salmonidae.
GUACCAGCCUUCUAGUGACUCUCACAGUAGGGUCUACUGUGGAGGUACCAGCCUUCUAGUGACUCUCACAGUGGGGUAUACUGUGUAGGUACCAGCCUUCUAGUGACUCUCACAGUAGGGUAUACUGUGUAGGUACCAGCCUUCUAGUGACUCUCACAGUAGGGUCUACUGUGGAGGUACCAGCCUUCUAGUGACUCUCACAGUGGGGUAUACUGUGUAGGUACCAGCCUUCUAGUGACUCUCACAGUAGGGUAUACUGUGUAGGUACCAGCCUUCUAGUGACUCUCACAGUAGGGUCUACUGUGGAGGUACCAGCCUUCUAGUGACUCUCACAGUGGGGUAUACUGUGUAGGUACCAGCCUUCUAGUGACUCUCACAGUAGGGUAUACUGUGUAGGUACCAGCCUUCUAGUGACUCUCACAGUAGGGUCUACUGUGGAGGUACCAGCCUUCUAGUGACUCUCACAGUGGGGUAUACUGUGUAGGUACCAGCCUUCUAGUGACUCUCACA